GACAGAGGGUGCAAGCGUUGUCCGGAAUUAUUGGGCGUAAAGAGCUCGUAGGCGGUCUGUCGCGUCUGCUGUGAAAACUCAGGGCUUAACCCUGAGCUUGCAGUGGGUACGGGCAGACUAGAGUGCGGUAGGGGAGACUGGAAUUCCUGGUGUAGCGGUGAAAUGCGCAGAUAUCAGGAAGAACACCCGUGGCUAAGGCGGCUCUCUAGUACGGUACUGACGCUGAGACGCGAAAGCGUGGGGAGCAAACAGG
RNAcentral lists this ribosomal RNA (253 nucleotides) under uncultured bacterium. RNAcentral's name for it is "partial 16S ribosomal RNA". It matches the Rfam family "Bacterial small subunit ribosomal RNA", at positions 524 to 776 of the family's 1533-position model. The record is from RNAcentral.